Molecule: long non-coding RNA, 776 nt
Organism: Perca fluviatilis (European perch)
Lineage: Eukaryota; Metazoa; Chordata; Actinopteri; Perciformes; Percidae
Exons: 3
Source: RefSeq, a predicted model, not a curated record
GGUGGGCAUGCUGGGACAAAAGAGAGCAGCUGGGACACAAAGGCCCCAUUUAUUGAGAGUGAGACAUGAGGCCAGAGCGGACUCCGUGGGUGGCACAUGGUGUCAUAGCUGCUGAAAAGACCGGUGAGCUCAUUUGACCCGAUAUAGCCUCUGAAGCAUUUUUGGACCACAUGGCUCUUCAGCUCCACCCAUUUCACCUGUCCAAGAUCGAGCCCCUGGCCAGACCACUCCGUGAGUCGCCGUGGGGAUAGAAGAGCCCUUUAUUAGAGAUGGCACACAGGGGUCCUUCAUAAGGCACCACAUGGGCACUUUAUAACAUCUGACAUAAGCAUUUGAGAGUGUGGUUACCAAUGCUUGUGGUUGAUGCAUGUCUGAUGGAGUCCAGUCGUAUGGGGUUGGGAGGCUCGCUCUUACUCACUUUCUCUCCCCUUUCCACUGCCCUUCAACCAAGAGAAAAGGAGAAAGAAACAGACGGCGUAAACAUAAAAGCAGAACACGGAGAAAGGGGAAAAUCAAAAUCUAGUGAUGCUGGACCAUAAACACACAGAAGCAGUUGGAUAAACACCAUGAACUUCAUAUAAAAGCUCUGAGGGGGCUUUCGCUAAUAAUAAAAAAAGCUACUAAACUAUAUUAGCAUCAGAGGUGUUGGCUGACUUUAAUAAUGUGUUAUAAAAAGCAAUUCCCAACGCUGUGGGUGUUUUCUGAUCCUGUGCAAUCCUGUGCCCCUAUCGGUGUCUUUGUCACUACUUUCCAGAAAUAAAACUGAUGGCCGUCCA